GUGUUCACUUUGGCAUCACAUAUAUUAAAAUUGGAGCAAUACAGAGAAGAUCAGCAUGUCACCUGUGUAAGACGAAAGAAAAAGAAGAAAAACUGGGGAGAAGUUC
RNAcentral lists this small nuclear RNA (106 nucleotides) under Salvator merianae (Argentine black and white tegu). Lineage: Eukaryota; Metazoa; Chordata; Lepidosauria; Squamata; Teiidae. The record is from RNAcentral.